UACGUAGGGUGCGAGCGUUGUCCGGAAUUACUGGGCGUAAAGAGCUCGUAGGCGGUUUGUCGCGUCGUCUGUGAAAUUCUGCAACUCAAUUGCAGGCGUGCAGGCGAUACGGGCAGACUUGAGUACUACAGGGGAGACUGGAAUUCCUGGUGUAGCGGUGAAAUGCGCAGAUAUCAGGAGGAACACCGGUGGCGAAGGCGGGUCUCUGGGUAGUAACUGACGCUGAGGAGCGAAAGCGUGGGGAGCGAACAGGAUUAGAUACCCUGGUAGUCCACGCCGUAAACGGUGGGUACUAGGUGUGGGGCUCAUUUCACGAGUUCCGUGCCGUAGCUAACGCAUUAAGUACCCCGCCUGGGGAGUACGGCCGCAAGGCUAAA
RNAcentral lists this ribosomal RNA (377 nucleotides) under uncultured bacterium. RNAcentral describes it as "bacterial SSU rRNA". It matches the Rfam family "Bacterial small subunit ribosomal RNA", at positions 524 to 898 of the family's 1533-position model. The record is from RNAcentral.